CACGUCAGCGCGCUUUGCUGACGUGGCAAUAAAUCGCGUCCACGAGGGGACGAUUUGUUGCCACGUCAGCAAAGCGCGCUGACGUGG
Non-coding RNA from Gossypium hirsutum (cotton), 87 nucleotides. Lineage: Eukaryota; Viridiplantae; Streptophyta; Magnoliopsida; Malvales; Malvaceae. The record is from Rfam.